Molecule: ribosomal RNA, 518 nt
Filed under: uncultured bacterium
Lineage: Bacteria
Description: bacterial SSU rRNA
Rfam family: Bacterial small subunit ribosomal RNA
Source: RNAcentral
GAACGCUGGCGGCGUGCCUAAUACAUGCAAGUCGAACGGCUUUUCUAUGGAAGCUUGCUUCCACUGAGAAGAUAGUGGCGAAACGGGUGAGUAACACGUGGGUAACCUGCCCAUAAGAGGGGGGAUAACAUCCGGAAACGGGUGCUAAUACCGCAUAGUUUUCUUGAUCGCAUGAUCGGGAAAGGAAAGACGGCCUUUGUGCUGUCGCUUAUGGAUGGACCCGCGGCGUAUUAGUUAGUUGGUGAGGUAACGGCUCACCAAGACGAUGAUACGUAGCCGACCUGAGAGGGUGAUCGGCCACAUUGGGACUGAGACACGGCCCAAACUCCUACGGGAGGCAGCAGUAGGGAAUCUUCCGCAAUGGACGAAAGUCUGACGGAGCAACGCCGCGUGAGUGAAGAAGGUUUUUCCGGGAUCGUAAAACUCUGUUGUCAGAGAAGAACAAGUUGGAGAGUAACUGCUCCAGCCUUGACGGUAUCUGACCAGAAAGCCACGGCUAACUACGUGCCAGCCGCUGC